UACGUAGGGUGCGAGCGUUGUCCGGAAUUACUGGGCGUAAAGAGCUCGUAGGUGGUUUGUCGCGUUGUUCGUGAAAACUCACAACUCAAUUGUGGGCGUGCGGGCGAUACGGGCAGACUGGAGUACUGCAGGGGAGACUGGAAUUCCUGGUGUAGCGGUGGAAUGCGCAGAUAUCAGGAGGAACACCGGUGGCGAAGGCGGGUCUCUGGGCAGUAACUGACGCUGAGACGCGAAAGCGUGGGGAGCAAACAGG
This 253-nucleotide ribosomal RNA is filed under the name uncultured bacterium. RNAcentral's name for it is "partial 16S ribosomal RNA". It matches the Rfam family "Bacterial small subunit ribosomal RNA", at positions 524 to 776 of the family's 1533-position model. The record is from RNAcentral.